RNAcentral lists this ribosomal RNA (523 nucleotides) under uncultured bacterium. RNAcentral's name for it is "partial 16S ribosomal RNA". It matches the Rfam family "Bacterial small subunit ribosomal RNA", at positions 28 to 523 of the family's 1533-position model. The record is from RNAcentral.
GACGAACGCUGGCGGCGUGCCUAAUACAUGCAAGUCGAACGCUUUUUCUUUCACCGGAGCUUGCUCCACCGAAAGAAAAAGAGUGGCGAACGGGCGAGUAACACGUGGGUAACCUGCCCAUCAGAAGGGGAAAACACUUGGAAACCGGUGCUAAUACCGUAUAACACUAUUUUCCGCAUGGAAGAAAAUUGAAAUGCGCUUUUGCGUACCUGAUGGAUGGAACCGCGGUGCAUUAGCUAGUCGGUGAGGUAACGGCUCACCAAGGCAACGAUGCAUAGCCGACCUGAGAGGGUGAUCGGCCACACUGGGACUGAGACACGGCCCAGACUCCUACGGGGGGUAGCAGUAGGGAAUCUUCGGCAAUGGACGAAAGUCUGACCGAGCAACGCCGCGUGAGUGAAGAAGGUUUUCGGAUCGUAAAACUCUGUUGUUAGAGAAGAACAAGGAUGAGAGUAAAACGUUCAUCCCUUGACGGUAUCUAACCAGAAAGCCACGGCUAACUACGUGCCAGCCGCCGCCGUAA